GAAGAGAAAAAGAAAGAAAGAGCCCUGGGGCCUCAAUUUUUCGCGCUGACUCCUCCCGGGCCCCAAAAAGAACCCACCCCCACGAGAAGCGUAAGAUCAGUGAAAAAAAUGUUCAAACCAGCUGCGAGAUGAUCUCGUGAAUCGAUAGUCGGUGUCCGACGAGGCACGUUCUCGAAAUUCGAACGGUGGACGAUGGAUAAUUAUUGAGAGCAACGAGACGACGAGAAAGAAGAGAGGGGAAAAAAAAUGAGAUAAUCGGAGAACGCGACAUCGACCCGAAACUCGCGUAGGAUUUCCUUUUAACAAUUCGGCUGAAGAAGAUAGUUUCGCUUCGACUCUAGAACUGCUGGAGGGGAUUUGUAUCGGAGAAUUCGUAUGUCGCGGCUCGAUUCGAUCGCGAGUCGAGCGACGUAAGGGACAAAACGAGGGAAAAGAAGAAGAAGCAGAAGAAGGAGAAGAAGAAGAAGAAAAAAGAAGAAGAUUAAAAUAAAGAGAAAAGACAAACGUGCGUGGCGAUGGGUUGGGAUCAGAUUAAUUAAUUGUAUCUCGGAAUAUUUGAAAGUUUUUUCGAUUACUGCGCGUUCGACGAUCGCCGCGCGAGGCUGACGUGUUUAUACAUUUUAUUAGAGUCUAUUUGAGAAACACAUACACACGUACACACACUUACACGGAACACAGGAGGGACAGGUUGCACACUUUGUGUAUAUAGUGUACAUACGUAUUGUAUACGUACGUAUGCGGCGACACUUCCACCUUUAUCGACAAACAAGUAAAUUACGAUCGAGGUAAAGAGACAAAAGAGAUAAAAAAAAAAUGAACAAAAAAGAUAACUACCAUAGACGAUGAAUCGAUAGAAGUACUGUGUAAAUAUUGUAAGAAGCCUUUCGAACGAGGUCUUUCCGCGUCCACCCGCGUGUGCCCUGGAAAGGACCACGUUUAAAUCUACCAAGAAUAUUUGUAAGAGCGAUCUACUCUUGUUUUUACGAAGCACCACGAGCGUUAUUGCUACUGUAAAAUAUUUGUCGAUUUAAUACUGACACGCGUAACCGCGUCGAUUGCGUGCAUAGGGUUGCCACACCGACGGAAUGCUUUAACGAACAUGAAUUCGAAAAGAAUCUGCCAUUCGGAAUCUUUUGCUGGAAGAUAACAAGCAUGAGUAUCUUGAACCUUCGAUUUUUAACAAUUUCCCAUUUUUUAUACUUAAGGUAUCGAUACAAUAGGCUUCUAAGAUAAUAGAGUGUCCGAUGAUACCGUUUUCAUCGACCGAGAAAAGCAUUCUUGACACUUAAAUCUUUAAUGAAAAUGUUGUUCCAUUGAAACAUUAAUAAAUUCGUUGUUUCCGUAAAUUGCAUGGAAUAAAGUAUUAGAAGUAACCUCAGAGAACGAUAAAUUAGCCGAGGAAGUAAGGAAAAUAUUGAUUUUUUCUAUAUAGCGCCGUAAAGUCGGUCGCACGCUUGCGCGGUGGCCGACGAGCGCCGGCCGACACCGCUUGUGCAGGCGUCGAAGUCUCCGGCGCGGCGUUGAAGUCACCGUGGCCGCGCUGGCGUCGGCGCGGCGCUCCAGCUCGCUAAUUUUCGCGAAAUCUUGUUAGGCACAAAGUAUCGCAUAGUUUUGCACAUUCUUACGAGUCCACGUAACCUGUUUUACAUUAAUUAAUAAAUAUAUUUAAGCCUCGAAUAGGAAUAAUACCGUACGAAUUUCCGCAAGUUUUUGUGUAGAAUUUCUGUAGCUUUUUCGACAUGUCGACGAUUUUUAUUCUUCCAUUCGAUUGCCGGCGCACGCGACAACACUGGCAGCCCUAUGCACGGACGUGGCAGCAGAUCACACGCAGAUCGAAUCUCUUGAUCGCUCGUGUACAUUGAUUUUUAGAAGCGCACGCAUCACGUUGUUUCUUAAGUAGAACGAAUUUGUCACAGGCACGCCGUUCGUCGCGAUCUAGUGUCGGGUGCCGCGCGAAGCCGACGUAGCUGAGUAAGGGGGGCGAAAGAAAUAUACGACAGCGUUGUAAAAUGAAUUUCAAGUCGUUUAGACGGUAACGUUGUCGUCUGCGCAUCGUUAGGAUAGUAUGAUGCGAGAGACUUUCUUUCAUCGCGAAUAUUUUUGAGCGAUACGCUUUCCUCACCGCGUGUGACUUUAUUGCAAAUCUUAGGCGAAUUUUCCUAUUAUUUUGUCUAGCACAUUUGCGAUCGGUGGUUCGCACCAAUAGAUCGGCGACGUCGGUCGAUUGACUCACCAGGCGCUGAAUACUUGGAUUUUCUUCUCGAACUUCAGAUCUGAAUAGCGUCGCAUUCGAUUGUUUUUUUAAUUCAACCCCUCAUUAUCGAUAAUAUUAAGUGUUUAUUCAUUUCAAUUUCAAUAUAAUAAGGCAAGGGGUUAAUUAACUUUACGAUUACCGAAAGUAAGCAUAGUUUCACUAACGAUCCACGAUCGAUUUUUCUCUAGUUUCAUCGGAAAACGGAAUCCGCAUUGACGAUUCCAAUCUUCUCGUUUUACCAGUUCGUAAUUAGCGUGAUUGAAUCUUGAAUUUUCAUACGAAUCUCUUAAAUGAAUUUUAUCGUCGAGUAAUAGGUAAAUUUUAUCGCGGAACCUGGCGUUUCCACGCGAAAUGAAUGUUUAAAUGAAUUUUAUCGGCGCCUUUAAGGGUUAGGGAAGCAAUUCGUGUGAGAAGAGUUUUCUGCGCGCAAACGCUUAAUCGAAUUUCCUUAGCGCGGCGUGCCGUUCUUGAUUUUUCGCUUGCCGCGACCGCGUCGAUGGUAAACCGCUUUAAUCUUUAAGGCAGAAACAUUUUUUGUAAAAGACGAGAAACAUAAAAAAACGAUCGAGGAACGAGACGGUCCCGCUCCACGAUCCGUGAUCGCCGAGAGCAGAAACGGGGUGAUUUUUCGUGAUCGAGUUUCGCGAGGAACGAUUUUAUACUCGGACCGUACCGGAUCCGAGGCAGCGGUCCCGCUGACUGUAAAAUCCUUUCGCAGCCAACUUUUGUAUAUACUAGGUGAAAAUAAUAAUAAUAAUAAUAACUUGCAUACACGAUCACUGGUGACGAUUCUACUUAAAGAUACUCACGCUUCCACUUUUGUGUGAACGAGCUCGCCCUUUGUCCGGCUCGAGUGAAAGGUUCUUUUUUCCCGGCGCGUUCAAAUUUCGAACACGCCGAUGAUUAUUCGAGUGUGUAUUUCGGAGAAGAGUGUGAUGAUUGCUGUUCCUUUUCCGGCUCGAAUUCGUCUUGCGAAGUUGACGACGUUGUCCAGUCACUUUAUUCGCUUCUCCUUCGACUACAAGCAUCAAGUCUAAAUAUUCUAUUGCUCCGAUCAAGCAAACGAUCGAAUGUUCUUAGGUAACAAUGAAUUUUAUUGAAACGUUGUAUAUCUUUAUAUUUUGUUAUUUAUUUUCCUUCUCAUUAUUUGCCAUUUAGUUUACCGAGUUCAUCGGGUCAAUCGAUGAACGAAUGAACUUCCUCAGUCUGUCGAUUAACGUUGUUUUGAUGAUGGACAAACGUGAACGACGUCGCGAAGAACGCAUUGCCAAACGAUUUUAAUUCCUAGUCGUGCAAAUUUUCUCUUUAGACGGACCCAACGUAAUCGAUGUGUGAUGAGCUACGAUAGACGGACAUUUUUUACGAUAUUUUGUAAGAGUCGUUAGCGAUAGGGAAUCCACGUCACGCAGAUCCCGGGAAGAGGACACACGGACGCGUGGUGUAACGUCACGCGACUAAUCCAGACGAGAAAUUUUGUCAACCCUUGAACAUUUCCGUAGAGAACGAUCUACUUACGUAGGCGACACGAAGCUGACAAACCACCGAGAAUCUCCGUCAGCUUGACACUUCGGUUUAGACCAGAAUUUUAGCGGCUUCCGGUCGGUCCGUUCUUUGUUUCGGUGUAUCGAGUAGCGUUCGACUCUGUAACGUCCAAGAAACUAGCG
This is a non-coding RNA of Nomia melanderi (Alkali bee), 3918 nucleotides long. The record is from RefSeq and is a predicted model, not a curated record. NCBI's taxonomy places the organism in Eukaryota, Metazoa, Arthropoda, Insecta, Hymenoptera, Halictidae.